RNAcentral lists this unclassified non-coding RNA (232 nucleotides) under Glomeraceae sp. RNAcentral's name for it is "partial contains 5.8S ribosomal RNA and internal transcribed spacer 2". The stretch from base 1 to 71 matches the Rfam family "5.8S ribosomal RNA", at positions 84 to 154 of the family's 154-position model. Lineage: Eukaryota; Fungi; Glomeromycota; Glomeromycetes; Glomerales; Glomeraceae. The record is from RNAcentral.
GUGAAUCAUCAAAUCUUUGAACGCACAUUGCACUCCCUGGUAUUCCGGGGAGCAUGCCUGUUCGAGGGUCGUUAGUAUACACAAUCGAGGCGUCGCUCUUUUUUUUAGGGUGAUCGCGUCGGAAUUGAGCCGCCUUUCAAAUGUUAAUUCAUGUUAAAGUGGCUUAAAAUCCAUCCAUCCGGUACGAUUCUUGCGUAUUUAAGAUCACUUUUGUUCAAGAUCGCUCGCUGAC